RNAcentral lists this ribosomal RNA (252 nucleotides) under Hyalomma somalicum. RNAcentral's name for it is "partial large subunit ribosomal RNA". The record is from RNAcentral. Lineage: Eukaryota; Metazoa; Arthropoda; Arachnida; Ixodida; Ixodidae.
AAUGCUAAAAGAAUGGAAGUUUAAAAAAAAACUUUUUUAAAAAUAAAAAUUAAAUUUUUUUUAAUCUGUGCAAAAUCAAUUAUUUGUAUUAAAGACAAGAAGACCCUAUGAAUUUAUGAUUAAAUAAAUUAAAAAUUUUUAAUUUAUUUAAUCUUGAUUGGGGCAAUCAAAAAAUAUUAAUAACUUUUUUAAAUUUAAAUGAUCUAUUAUUAAUAAUCUAAUGAAAUAAAUACUCUAGGGAUAACAGCGUAA